GAGGGUACAGCUCAGUGGUAGGGCACGUGCUUAGCAUGCACGAGGGCCUGGGUUCAAUUCCCGGUACCUCCA
RNAcentral lists this transfer RNA (72 nucleotides) under Camelus bactrianus (Bactrian camel). It matches the Rfam family "tRNA". From Rfam's summary of the family: Transfer RNA (tRNA) molecules are approximately 80 nucleotides in length. The record is from Rfam by way of RNAcentral. RNAcentral also lists the same sequence under 2 other names. Lineage: Eukaryota; Metazoa; Chordata; Mammalia; Artiodactyla; Camelidae.